This 115-nucleotide small RNA is filed under the name unclassified sequences. RNAcentral describes it as "LOOT RNA". It matches the Rfam family "LOOT RNA". Rfam says of the family: Latescibacteria, OD1/Parcubacteria, OP11, TM7. The record is from Rfam by way of RNAcentral.
AGCCUAAACUCGAACAAACGAGCAUGGCAAAAAUCCAUCCCUGGCAUUAAGCUCCUCGUCUGAGCACCAGGGAUGGUCAUAUCUCGAAAGGGAUAUGGGUGGCCGAAAGGCUAUC